This 493-nucleotide ribosomal RNA is filed under the name uncultured Gammaproteobacteria bacterium. RNAcentral's name for it is "bacterial SSU rRNA". It matches the Rfam family "Bacterial small subunit ribosomal RNA", at positions 8 to 497 of the family's 1533-position model. The record is from RNAcentral. Lineage: Bacteria; Pseudomonadati; Pseudomonadota; Gammaproteobacteria.
AGAGUUUGAUCCUGGCUCAGAUUGAACGCUGGCGGCAGGCCUAACACAUGCAAGUCGAGCGGAUGACGGGAGCUUGCUCCUGGAUUCAGCGGCGGACGGGUGAGUAAUGCCUAGGAAUCUGCCUGGUAGUGGGGGACAACGUUUCGAAAGGAACGCUAAUACCGCAUACGUCCUACGGGAGAAAGCAGGGGACCUUCGGGCCUUGCGCUAUCAGAUGAGCCUAGGUCGGAUUAGCUUGUUGGUGAGGUAAUGGCUCACCAAGGCGACGAUCCGUAACUGGUCUGAGAGGAUGAUCAGUCACACUGGAACUGAGACACGGUCCAGACUCCUACGGGAGGCAGCAGUGGGGAAUAUUGGACAAUGGGCGAAAGCCUGAUCCAGCCAUGCCGCGUGUGUGAAGAAGGUCUUCGGAUUGUAAAGCACUUUAAGUUGGGAGGAAGGGUUGUAGAUUAAUACUCUGCAAUUUUGANGUACCGACAGAAUAAGCACCGGC